This 72-nucleotide transfer RNA is filed under the name Heterocephalus glaber (naked mole-rat). It matches the Rfam family "tRNA". From Rfam's summary of the family: Transfer RNA (tRNA) molecules are approximately 80 nucleotides in length. Their secondary structure includes four short double-helical elements and three loops (D, anti-codon, and T loops). Lineage: Eukaryota; Metazoa; Chordata; Mammalia; Rodentia; Bathyergidae. The record is from Rfam by way of RNAcentral.
GGGGAUGUAGCUCAGUGGCACAGCUCCUGCCUGGUGAGCAUGAGGCCCUGAGUUCAAAUCCCAGUACGCUCC